Molecule: long non-coding RNA, 462 nt
Organism: Triticum aestivum (bread wheat)
Lineage: Eukaryota; Viridiplantae; Streptophyta; Magnoliopsida; Poales; Poaceae
Exons: 3
Source: RefSeq, a predicted model, not a curated record
GCAGCCUGAAAUUUUUCUUGUGGAGUGGACUGAAGUAAUCCAUCAAACUAGCUGCAUUAUUGAUUCUGUUCUUUUUGCUGGCGAGUGUGAAACAUCCCCAGUUAAAAUUGGGAAUUCUUGCGACGUCUUCAACAAGGACGAAAUAUUUGGAGUCGACAUAAUCUUGUACCGUGGGUGCUAAAAUAAUGCCAAUAGCAUACAAAACAAACCGCCUGAUGAAAUGAUCAUCUGGAGUUUUGGAGGCUUUAAUUUUGUCCUCGAGGUCACUCAGCUUAAGUCUUCCAUCUGUUUGAUAAGCCCUUAACAGCUCUUCGCUAGCAGCACCAACAUAAUACGUCGGAGAGACACUGACUUCAUCUUUGUUAGCCCUCCAAGACCGGUUUGAGUGCAGAUGGCCUUUAGGUGCUCGUCAUCUAACACAUCAAUCAUUUGCGCGAACCUUAUCGGUGAGCACAUUAACCU